AGUGAACGCUGGCGGUAGGCCUAACACAUGCAAGUCGAACGGCAGCACAGUAAGAGCUUGCUCUUACGGGUGGCGAGUGGCGGACGGGUGAGGAAUACAUCGGAAUCUACUUUUUCGUGGGGGAUAACGUAGGGAAACUUACGCUAAUACCGCAUACGACCUACGGGUGAAAGCAGGGGAUCUUCGGACCUUGCGCGAUUGAAUGAGCCGAUGUCGGAUUAGCUAGUUGGCGGGGUAAAGGCCCACCAAGGCGACGAUCCGUAGCUGGUCUGAGAGGAUGAUCAGCCACAUGGGAAUUGAGAAACGGUCCAGACCCCCACGGGGGGCAGAGGGGGGGAAUUUGGGAAAAGGGGCGCAAGCCUGACCCAGCCAUACCGGGGGGGUGAAGAAGGCCUUCGGGUUGUAAAGCCCUUUUGUUGGGGGAAAAAAGCAGCAGGUUAAAACCCCGCUGUUCUGCCGGUACCAAAAGAAAAAGCACCGGCUACCUUCGG
This 491-nucleotide ribosomal RNA is filed under the name uncultured bacterium. RNAcentral's name for it is "partial 16S ribosomal RNA". It matches the Rfam family "Bacterial small subunit ribosomal RNA", at positions 29 to 506 of the family's 1533-position model. The record is from RNAcentral.